AUUGCAUCUUGCAGGUUUUGUUCUUUUUCUGUGAGUUGUAAGGGGACAUGUCGGUAACUGUCGGACUACCGCAUAUUCAGAUAAUCAGGGGCCUGUUUCACGAAGCAGGUUCAACAAACUCUGAGUUUAUCCCUGAACUCUGAGUUGAUCUACUCUGAGAUAGAAAACUCUGAGUUUUCAGUUUCACAACGGCUGGUUUGAGUUGGUUUAAUUAACUCGGAGUAGUUUCACUCGGAGUUAAGCGCGUCACUGCAACUCUGAAAAGACAGCAUCAAUGGAACCCCGAUUCGACGAGUCACCAUGGAAACGGGGAAGCGGAGGGCUGCGUUUGGGACUGGAAGUUUUUAACGCGCUCAUAUGGCGAGUUUGAAGACGUUUUUAGAAAGAAGUGCAACACCGCUGCAGCUGUAAAAGAGAGAGAGACGGCGUGGAGAACAGCCCGGAUCAAUGUUUCAAACUUUAAAACGGAUCAAUCUGACCCGCAUAAUGACACGGGGUUAAUUAAACAUUACCGUGUAUAAUAACCUUGUUUCCUGCCCCCCUGGCAGCCAGAUUGUGUCAGUUUGCGGUGAUGUUUUACAGUGUGACUGUCCGUAUGCAGACAGGUUGUUCUGCUGAUACUUGCUCAUGCAUGAGGAUAAGUUGUGGUGUUAAUAACCGUCCUGGUCCUCCCCCUGCUGCAGCUGAUCCCAGCCCAUCUGUCUGCUGCCUCCUUGGGGGACACGGGGGAGGAGGAGCGGGAGGCAGGGAGGCAAAUUAACAAGUUGCCACAUGUUUCCAGGCGUUGAGCUGCUUUUAAUUACACCUGGACGUCACUUCGGAGGAACACUGCCGCCUGGAUCUGCUCCUAUUAUCGGCUGAAGGUUGGAAUCCUCACAAGGAGCCCAAAAUGUUUAAAAGUCUGAAUCCACAACAGCUGACUGGUUUUACUUUGAAAUGAUUCACUUUGUUCCUGCUGCUUUAUCAGUUAGGAAGCAAAGAUAUUAUUGAUAUUCAUUAAAAUACUGUCAAGGAGCUACAGAAAGAAAACAACAGCUCUGAUUUAAAAUCUUAUAUGUCAGGUUGUUUUGUCUCUUUGUGUUGUUUUGUGUCUCUUUGUGGUUGUUUUGUGUCUUUUUGGUUGUUUUGUGUCUCUUUGUGGUUGUUUUGUGUCUUUGUGAUUGUUUUGUGUCUCUUUGUGGUUGUUUUGUGUCUUUGUUGUUGUUUUGUGUGUCUUUGUGGUUGUUUUGUGUCUUUAUGAUUGUUUUGUGUCUCUUUGCGGUUGUUUUGUGUCAGCGGUUGUGUUUUAAUCACAGUUUGAUCCUGGAACUCUGCACAGAUUUAAACUUUUCUUUGUGUUCUACCUGCAGAGGGAAACUUCUUUAAAUGAAGUUUAUUCCUCCUCCUGCUUCUUUUUUUACCCUCAGCUCUGGUUCUCAGUUCAUCUCCUUCCCCUCCUCGUCUUCUCUCUCCGCUAUAAUUGGGCUCGGUGUGUUUUUCUGGUCGUAUGCUACAUUAAUUAUCACAGCAAUCAGACCAGGGACAAUAUGGCUUUAUUUGUUCCUGCGGGAGGCUGUGUGUGUGUGUGUGUGUGUGUGUGUGUGUGUGCAGACAGGUGAUAUUCAUGCGUGUUCGCUCCAGCUGAGCUCUUUUAUGGCUCAUUAUAAGCUCUAACAAGGCUUCAGUAGCUGAAUGUGUGGAGGCCUCGGGGAGCUGCCCAACACCUCCGUCUCACAGGGCAGCCCGAAAUACACACCGCAGACGCACAACAAGACGCACAACAGCACAGAAAACAAUUACAGCGAGUCCGUGUGUGUGUGCAUGGAGGGUAUCGCGAGUCUGCAAACAGUCUAAAAAAAUGUUUUUAUUUUGUCCUGGUGACAUCAAAAGUCCUGGAUGUCAUGAAACGUGUUUAUAUGAACACAGCUUUGUUUGUUUUUGUGUGGUUGUUGGUCUGUGGGAGGGCUUUUUGUGUCUCUGUGUGGUUGUUUUGUAUGUCUGUGUGGUCAUUUUGUGUAUUUUUGUUUUCGUUUUGUGUGUCCUUUUUGCAUUCUUGUUUUCAAUUCAUGCAUCAUUGAAUUUUUUGUGUCGUUCUGUUUUUUGUUUGUUUGUGGUUGUUUCGUGUUGCUGUGUAGUUGUUUUGUUUGUGGUUGUUUUGUGUCUAUGUUGGAUGUUUUCUGUAUCUUUGUGAUUGUUUGUGCAUCUUUGUUGCUUUUUUGUGCCUCUAUGAGGUUAUCCCCACAACUGGUUCAGGUCAGGUCAACAAAGCUAUGUUGACUUUUGGUUUGACCCGUCCAUCCACCCCAACCUUCUUUCCUUCCUCUGUAGAUAGAUAGAUACAUAGCUAGAUAGAUGUUGCACAGACACACUUCACACACUCCAACACCUGAGCUAAUGAAGCAGAGUGCAGCACAUUCAGUCCUUAAGGCUGUCAAUCAAAGCUUACUAAUGGUCCUACACACACACACACACACACACACACUCCCAGCUGUACCUUCCUAUUGACGAGGCUCCAUUGAAAAGACUGUAAUCUGCCCACACAGACUCUAAGCAGAUAAUACAAGACGGACAUCUUAACAAAACACUGAGAAACACGUAAAUGUUCAGACAUAAAUAUCAGCGUUAGGAAGAGAAGAGACAUGGAAAGACAUGAUUAAAACAAAAAAGAUCAGAACAACCCCUUAAAACAAGUCCAAAUUCAGCAGCUGGGAUGCUAAAUAUGGUUUCAUCUUCAUUGUUAGAGUAAUAAAAGCAGUUAUUCUACAAAAAACAGUCAAACUAAAUCUAAUGAAGGUCCACCAGAACCUCCUCAGAACAUCUGCUUCUUCAUGUCCAGUAAUUUUAUCAAUGAUCAGAGUUCCUCCUUCAUAUUCCCAGAGUUCCAGGUCCUUGAAGUCCAAAGAGGAGAACAUCCCCUUUACAAAGUUCUAGAGUAGACCUACCGACAACUGUAGAGUUGUCGGUAGGUCUACUCUAGAACUUCCUCCAGUUGUCGGUAGGUCGACUCUAGAGCUUUCUCCAGUUGUCGGUAGGUCUGCUCUAGAACUUUCUCCAGUUGUCGGUAGGUCUACUCUGGAACUUUCUCCAGUUGUCGGUAGGUCUACUCUAGAACUUUCUCCAGUUGUCGGUAGGUCUACUCUGGAACUUUCUCCAGUUGUCGGUAGGUCUGCUCUAGAACUUUCUCCAGUUGUCGGUAGGUCUACUCUGGAACUUUCUCCAGUUGUCGGUAGGUCUGCUCUGGAACUUUCUCCAGUUGUCGGUAGGUCUGCUCUAGAACUUUCUCCAGUUGUCGGUAGGUCUACUCUGGAACUUUCUCCAGUUGUCGGUAGGUCUACUCUGGAACUUUCUCCAGUUGUCGGUAGGUCUACUCUGGAACUUUCUCCAGUUGUCGGUAGGUCUACUCUGGAACUUUCUCCAGUUGUCGGUAGGUCUACUCUGGAACUUUCUCCAGUUGUCGGUAGGUCUACUCUGGAACUUUCUCCAGUUGUCGGUAGGUCUACUCUGGAACUUUCUCCAGUUGUCGGUAGGUCUACUCUGGAACUUCUGCAGAUUCAGAGUCCAAAUCUGACACCAGUUUCAUGAUAAUAAACACUUCAAGUACAUUAAAGUUAAGAAAAUCAAUCCAGUGUUUCUGUCUGACAGAACAAGACAAAGAGGCAUGUCAGUAAAUGUAGAUCAGCUGUAGUACCUGGUUGUUCCAGCAGGUGGAGCCUCAGUAAAAUAGUAUAAU
Molecule: long non-coding RNA, 3709 nt
Organism: Acanthochromis polyacanthus (spiny chromis)
Lineage: Eukaryota; Metazoa; Chordata; Actinopteri; Pomacentridae
Exons: 4
Source: RefSeq, a predicted model, not a curated record